UGGGGAAUCUUGCACAAUGGGGGAAACCCUGAUGCAGCGACGCCGCGUGAGCGAUGAAGGUUUUCGAAUCGUAAAGCUCUGUCCUAUGGGAAGAUAAUGACGGUACCAUGGGAGGAAGCCCCGGCUAACUACGUGCCAGCAGCCGCGGUAAUACGUAGGGGGCGAGCGUUGUCCGGAAUUACUGGGCGUAAAGGGUUCGCAUGCGGCAUGGCAAGUCCGAUGUAAAAGGCGAAGGCUCAACCUUCGUAAGCAUCGGAAACUGUCAAGCUUGAGUGAAGGAGAGGCAAGUGGAAUUCCUAGUGGAGCGGUGGAAUGCGUAGAUAUUAGGAGGAAUACCGGUGGCGAAGGCGACUUGCUGGACUUCAACUGACGCUGAGGAACGAAAGCGUGGGUAGCAAACAGG
Molecule: ribosomal RNA, 403 nt
Filed under: Fusobacteriota bacterium
Lineage: Bacteria; Fusobacteriati; Fusobacteriota
Description: Fusobacteria bacterium partial 16S ribosomal RNA
Rfam family: Bacterial small subunit ribosomal RNA
Source: RNAcentral